UACGGAGGAUCCGAGCGUUAUCCGGAUUUACUGGGUUUAAAGGGUGCGUAGGCGGGCGCCUAAGUCAGCGGUGAAAGGCAGCGGCUCAACCGUUGGAAUGCCGUUGAGACUGGGCGCCUUGGAUUCGGUCGGGGCCGGCGGAAUGCGUGGUGUAGCGGUGAAAUGCUUAGAUAUCACGCGGAACGCCGAUCGCGAAGGCAGCUGGCCAGGCCGAGAUCGACGCUGAGGCACGAAAGCGUGGGGAUCAAACAGG
RNAcentral lists this ribosomal RNA (253 nucleotides) under uncultured bacterium. Its description in RNAcentral is "partial 16S ribosomal RNA". It matches the Rfam family "Bacterial small subunit ribosomal RNA", at positions 524 to 776 of the family's 1533-position model. The record is from RNAcentral.